Molecule: ribosomal RNA, 483 nt
Filed under: uncultured bacterium
Lineage: Bacteria
Description: partial 16S ribosomal RNA
Rfam family: Bacterial small subunit ribosomal RNA
Source: RNAcentral
GACGAACGCUGGCGGCGUGCUUAACACAUGCAAGUCGAACGCUGAAGCUCAGCUUUUGUUGGGUGGAUGAGUGGCGAACGGGUGAGUAACACGUGAGUAACCUGCCCCCUUCUUUGGGAUAACGCCCGGAAACGGGUGCUAAUACUGGAUAUUCACUGGUCUUCGCAUGGGGGUUGGUGGAAAGGGUUUUUCUGGUGGGGGAUGGGCUCGCGGCCUAUCAGCUUGUUGGUGGGGUGAUGGCCUACCAAGGCUUUGACGGGUAGCCGGCCUGAGAGGGUGAACGGUCACAUUGGGACUGACAUACGGCCCAGACUCCUACGGGAGGCAGCAGUGGGGAAUAUUGCACAAUGGGCGCAAGCCUGAUGCAGCGACGCCGCGUGAGGGAUGGAGGCCUUCGGGUUGUGAACCUCUUUCGCUCAUGGUCAAGCCGCAACAAUGGUUGUGGUGAGGGUAGUGGGUAAAGAAGCGCCGGCUAACUACGUG